RNAcentral lists this ribosomal RNA (426 nucleotides) under uncultured bacterium. RNAcentral describes it as "bacterial SSU rRNA". It matches the Rfam family "Bacterial small subunit ribosomal RNA", at positions 506 to 930 of the family's 1533-position model. The record is from RNAcentral.
AGCCAGCAGCCGCGGUAAGACGGAGGGAGCAAGCGUUGUCCGGAUUUACUGGGCGUAAAGCGCGCGUAGGCGGCCUAUUAAGUCGGUUGUGAAAGCGUUGGGCUUAACCCAGCAACUGCAGUCGAUACUGGUAGGCUCGAGUUCGGGAGAGGGAAGCGGAAUUCCUGGUGUAGCGGUGGAAUGCGUAGAUAUCAGGAAGAACACCGGUGGCGAAGGCGGCUUCCUGGACCGAUACUGACGCUGAGGCGCGAAAGCUAGGGGAGCGAACGGGAUUAGAUACCCCGGUAGUCCUAGCCGUAAACGAUGGUCACUAGGUGUUGCGGGUAUCGACCCCUGCAGUGCCGAAGCUAACGCAUUAAGUGACCCGCCUGGGGAGUACGGCCGCAAGGUUGAAACUCAAAGGAAUUGACGGGGGCCCGCACAAGC